This 1257-nucleotide ribosomal RNA is filed under the name Triticum aestivum (bread wheat). RNAcentral's name for it is "partial small subunit ribosomal RNA". The record is from RNAcentral. Lineage: Eukaryota; Viridiplantae; Streptophyta; Magnoliopsida; Poales; Poaceae.
AUGACGACGACCGCCACGACGGCCCACUCCGGCGCGGCGGGCGCGUCGUCGUCCUUCUACGCGCCGCCCUCCCGCCGCCUCCACUUCUUCGUGCGCGCCACCGACUCCAAGACCAUCGCGAUGCACGCGGCCGCGGACGACACCGUCGCCGCCGUGCUCGCCCACCUCGCCGACCGCGGCUACGGCUGCGACCUGCGCCUCCUCCACGCGGGGCGCCAGCUCGAGCCGGAGGCCACCGUCGCCUCGCUCGGCCUCCCGCCCGACUCCACCCUCCAGCUCGCGGCGCGCCUCCGCUCCACCCCGCACCCCAAGGCCUGGCAGCUCGCCUCGCACAUCGCCGCCACCGCCGCCUCCUGGGACGCCGGCACCGCCACCGCCAACACCCUGGAAGACCUCGUCAAGGAGUACAUCUUCUGCUGCGACCUCGGCAGCGAGCAGAACCGGAAUGAUCUCUGGGCCAAGGGCGCCGAGGAGCACCUCGACAUCUUCCUCCAGUCGGGCGCCGCCAUCGCGCUGGUUCACCUCUACCUCUCAGAUUCCUCCUCCUCUCGCGUCUACGCCGAGCGCGCCAUCAGGUGCUUUCUCAGCACCGACCCUGCGACCUUACCGCCCAAUGUAAGGCUCGUCACGGCGCCGGUGCUGCUGAAAUUCUGCCGCUUGCUUUCUCUGGCCGCGGGCAAUAAGGAUCCCCUCUACAAGUCAUGCCGUCAUACACUUGCAUCGGUGCUCUGCUUGCCACUCUCAGGGCUCGUUGCCUCCAAAUCUCCUACCAAGGUGAUCGAGCAGGUCCUCCCGUUUGCCAGAGAAAUAGUUGAAUUGGUUCUGGAUGGACUGGGAUCAGAGCCCAUGAUGGUGUCAAGGACAGACCUUGAGGAGCUCUCAAACUUCUUUCAAGUCUUGCGCCAGCAGGUACUCCUUUGGAUGCCAAAGAAUGUGUACAGCAGGGAGCGUAAGCGUACCGACACAUGGGUGUGGGAGUUGCAGGAAAUGUCCACGAACCUGCUGAAAAAGAUGGAUGAGUGUCUGGAGAGGUUGGAGAUGGAUCUUCCAUCUUUAUCAUCUGACAGUGUGGGGGUCAUAGAAAGUCAACCAUUCAUGGCCAGCCGAUUACAUAUACUGGCCAUAUUGACAGAACUGGAUAUUCGAGGAUGUGGCGCACAACCUUCGGUUAGUAGUGCUGGCACACAAAGCACCUCUCAAUGUACCCGUGCGCUGUUGCAAGAGGAACGAGCAUCACCACUGGCUCCUGAAGCAUAA